RNAcentral lists this ribosomal RNA (789 nucleotides) under uncultured bacterium. RNAcentral describes it as "bacterial SSU rRNA". It matches the Rfam family "Bacterial small subunit ribosomal RNA", at positions 91 to 898 of the family's 1533-position model. The record is from RNAcentral.
CUUAGUGGCGGACGGGUGAGUAACACGUGAGUAACCUGCCUUUUAGUGGGGAAUAACGGCUGGAAACGGUCGCUAAUACCGCAUAAUGUCUUGGAGUCGCAUGACUUUGAGACCAAAGAUUUAUCGCUGAAAGAUGGACUCGCGCCCGAUUAGCUAGUUGGUGAGGUAAUGGCUCACCAAGGCGACGAUCGGUAGCCGGACUGAGAGGUUGAACGGCCACAUUGGGACUGAGACACGGCCCAGACUCCUACGGGAGGCAGCAGUGGGGGAUAUUGCACAAUGGGGGAAACCCUGAUGCAGCGAUGCCGCGUGUAGGAAGACGGUCCUCUGGAUUGUAAACUACUGUCUUCAGGGACGAUAAUGACGGUACCUGAGGAGGAAGCUCCGGCUAACUACGUGCCAGCAGCCGCGGUAAUACGUAGGGAGCGAGCGUUGUCCGGAAUUACUGGGUGUAAAGGGAGCGUAGGCGGGGUUUUAAGUCCGUUGUGAAAUCUAUCGGCUCAACCGGUAGCUGCGGCGGAAACUGGGACUCUUGAGUGAAGUAGAGGCAGGCGGAAUUCCUAGUGUAGCGGUGAAAUGCGUAGAUAUUAGGAGGAACACCAGUGGCGAAGGCGGCCUGCUGGGCUUUUACUGACGCUGAGGCUCGAAAGUGUGGGGAGCAAACAGGAUUAGAUACCCUGGUAGUCCACACUGUAAACGAUGAUUACUAGGUGUGGGGGGUCUGACCCCUUCCGUGCCGGAGUUAACACAAUAAGUAAUCCACCUGGGGAGUACGGCCGCAAGGUUGAA